UCGCUGCAUUACCCGUGUCUGCCCCCUUAACGAAUAGAUCCUUUCGAACACUUAUCGAGUCUUUACUGACAUAGAAUUUUUCCUAUACAGAUGUAACUAACACAACCGUCUUCGCUGUAGUAAGCUGACAUCGUCAAGUGCCAAACAGCCGUUGACGCAGCAGGGCUUCCAAUCUGACUAUCUAUAGGGUGUCCUAUUCAAAACUUUAGAGAUACGACGAUUGCUGUAGCGUUGCCGGCCGCCUUCCGGCGGCCGGAAAUUUAUCUCGCCUAACCUAACCUACGUAUAAAUCAAAUGUGUUUAAUUCCUUGAGAAUUAAUAAUACAAUAUAAAACAUAACGUAAUGUAACUAAAAAAAUGAAUUUUACAUGGUACACCCUAUAGAAACGGAAGAUAUUGCUAUGGUGUGAACGGCUAUUCGACACCACGAUGACGGUUGCUACAGCGAAGACGGCAGUGAAGUCGAAGAUCCCACUUUAUAUUUGGAGUCGUCUACCUGCUCCCAACCAACCCUCCAAAUUUCAUCUUGAUCGGCGACCGGUUGUAUUCGGAACUACAGCCAAUAUCUGUAACGGUUUUGGAGAAAAAGAAAAUAAAACCGGUCAAAAUUU
This is a non-coding RNA of Osmia lignaria (orchard mason bee), 611 nucleotides long. The record is from RefSeq and is a predicted model, not a curated record. NCBI's taxonomy places the organism in Eukaryota, Metazoa, Arthropoda, Insecta, Hymenoptera, Megachilidae.